AUGAAGGAUAGAAAUAUGCUAUUUGCUGCUAUUCCAUCUAUUUGUGCAUCAAGUCUGAAGAAGAUCUCAAUCUAUAAUGAAGAAAUGAUAGUAGCUCGUUGUUUUAGAGGCUUUCUCAUAUUCAAUCGGAAGAGUUUAGGCAAGACUUUCAAACAAACUCUCAACGGGAAAAUCGAGUCUAUUCACAAAGAAUUGCAGCAAUUCUUCAAUCCUAAUGAAGUAAUUCCAGAGGAAUCCAAUGAACAACAACGAUUACUUAGGAUCACUUAUAUUUUGUUCUUAGGAAAUACAAAAUGCACAGUAUCGCAAAUUAGUUGUGGAGGCAUUAGGAAAAGAUCAGCAUGGAGGUAA
RNAcentral lists this ribosomal RNA (351 nucleotides) under Triticum aestivum (bread wheat). RNAcentral describes it as "partial small subunit ribosomal RNA". Lineage: Eukaryota; Viridiplantae; Streptophyta; Magnoliopsida; Poales; Poaceae. The record is from RNAcentral.